CCCUUAGAUGUCCGGGGCUGCACGCGCGCUACACUGAAGGAAUCAGCGUGCUAAAACCAUUGUCGAAAGGCAUUGGUAAACCCAUUAAAAUCCUACGUGAUUGGGAUCGGGAAUUGCAAUUAUUUCCCUUGAACGAGGAAUUCCCAGUAAGUGUGGGUCAUAAGCUCGCGUUGAUUACGUCCCUGCCCUUUGUACACACCGCCCGUCGCUGCCCGGGACUGAGCCGUUUCGAGAAAAGCGGGGACUGCUGCUGUCGGGGCUUUCGGGCCUUAGCUUCGGUGGAAACCGCUUUAAUCGCAGUGGCUUGAACCGGGCAAAAGUCGUAACA
RNAcentral lists this ribosomal RNA (328 nucleotides) under uncultured eukaryote. RNAcentral's name for it is "partial 18S ribosomal RNA". It matches the Rfam family "Eukaryotic small subunit ribosomal RNA", at positions 1470 to 1796 of the family's 1831-position model. The record is from RNAcentral.